This 463-nucleotide ribosomal RNA is filed under the name uncultured bacterium. RNAcentral describes it as "partial 16S ribosomal RNA". It matches the Rfam family "Bacterial small subunit ribosomal RNA", at positions 28 to 507 of the family's 1533-position model. The record is from RNAcentral.
GACGAACGCUGGCGGCGUGCUUAACACAUGCAAGUCGAACGGAAAGGCCUUUUCGGAGGUACUCGAGUGGCGAACGGGUGAGUAACACGUGGGUGAUCUGCCCUGCACUCUGGGAUAAGCCUGGGAAACUGGGUCUAAUACCGGAUAGGACCGCACUUUAGUGUGUGUGGUGGAAAGUUUUUUCGGUGUAGGAUGAGCCCGCGGCCUAUCAGCUUGUUGGUGGGGUAAUGGCCUACCAAGGCGGCGACGGGUAGCCGGACUGAGAGGUUGGUCGGCCACAUUGGGACUGAGAUACGGCCCUGACUCCUACGGGAGGCAGCAGUGGGGAGUAUUGCACAAUGGGCGCAAGCCUGAUGCAGCGACGCCGCGUGGGGGAUGACGGCCUUCGAGUUGUAAACUCCUUUCGCCAGGGACGAAGCGUUUUGUGACGGUACCUGGAGAAGAAGCACCGGCUAACUACGUG